GCGGCAACAGCUCAAAUUUGAAAUCUGGCGUCUCCGGCGCCCGAGUUGUAAUUUGCAGAGGAUGCUUUUGGCGACAUGCCCGGCCCAAGUUCCCUGGAACGGGACGCCGCAGAGGGUGAGAGCCCCGUACGGCCUGGUGUCUAGCCUCUGUAAUGCUCCUUCUACGAGUCGAGUAGUUUGGGAAUGCUGCUCUAAAUGGGAGGUAAACUCCUUCUAAAGCUAAAUAUUGGCCAGAGACCGAUAGCGCACAAGUAGAGUGAUCGAAAGAUGAAAAGCACUUUGAAAAGAGAGUCAAAUAGCACGUGAAAUUGUUGAAAGGGAAGCGCUUAUGAUCAGACUGGGGCUUGGUGGUUCAGCCGUCCUUCUGGGCGGUGCACUCCGCCGGUUCCGGCCAGCAUCAGUUGCCGGCAGGGGAUAACUGCUGUGGGAAUGUGGCCCUUCGGGGUGUUAUAGCCCGCUGCGUAAUGUCCUGCCGGCGACUGAGGUUAGCGUUCUCGCGGAUGCUGGCGUAAUGGUUAUUAGCGACCCGUCUUGAAACACGGACCAAGGAGUCGUCUGCUAUCGAGUGUUUUGGGUGUUAAACCCCAGCGCGAAAUGAAAGUGAACGGAGGUGAGAGCCUCGGCGCAUCAUCGACCGAUCCUGAAGUUUACGGAUGGAUUUGAGUAAGAGCAUGGCGGGCCGGACCCGAAAGAAGGUGAACUAUGCUUGGAUAGGGCAAAGCCAGAGGAAACUCUGGUGGAGGCUCGCAGCGGUUCUGACGUGCAAAUCGAUCGUCAAAUCUGAGCAUGGGGGCGAAAGACUAAUCGAACCUUCUAGUAGCUGGUUUCCACCGAAGUUUCCCUCAGGAUAGCAGUGCUGAUUCUCAGUUUUAUGAGGUAAAGCGAAUGAUUAGGGACUCGGGGGCGCUAUUUAGCCUUCAUCCAUUCUCAAACUUUAAAUAUGUAAGAAGCCCUUGUUGCUUUAGUGAACGAAGGCAUUAGAAUGUACAGCACUAGUGGGCCAUUUUUGGUAAGCAGAACUGGCGAUGCGGGAUGAACCGAUCGCGAGGUUAAGGUGCCUAAAUAGUCGCUCAUCAGACACCACAAAAGGUGUUAUCACAUCUUGACAGCAGGACGGUGGCCAUGGAAGUCGGAAUCCGCUAAGGACUGUGUACAACUCACCUGCCGAAUGUGAUAGCCCUGAAAAUGGAUG
This 1192-nucleotide ribosomal RNA is filed under the name Halosphaeria appendiculata. RNAcentral's name for it is "LSU rRNA". It matches the Rfam family "Eukaryotic large subunit ribosomal RNA", at positions 98 to 1324 of the family's 3401-position model. Lineage: Eukaryota; Fungi; Ascomycota; Sordariomycetes; Microascales; Halosphaeriaceae. The record is from RNAcentral.